AGUGCGUUUGUGAAUUAACUCUUUUCAUGCAUUCAGUCAGACAGAGGAAGUAUAAAAACUAACAUUCUCUUUCUAAGUUUUUUUCAAUGUAUAGAAUAUUUAGCAGUUAAAGUGCACAGUGGUCUCUCUUUCUCACACCUCUGAGCAUUGUUGGUGACAGUAUGAAAAAAAAACAUUUCCUGUGAUGGUUUAAGCGUGAGUCCGGAAGACUGACAACACACAUAAACACUCAAAGCAACAGUUCAACCUCUCUAUGGCCAAGGCCAGAUACUUCUUCAGUCAUCCAAUCAAAGACUACCCUUGUGCCAAGAGCAGCCAAUCAACUUCCAGGAUCUCUUCUCCAGCAGUUCCUGCAGUUUCUCAUCCACGGCCUCAUUCACAAAAUGCUGCAGGGUCCGUUCACAUGUGCCAUUUGUUCUUCAUUUAAACUAUUGUGCAACCACUUAAAAAGAAUCAGGAACUGAAAAAGCAAAAACUGUGCAAGCAGUCAAACUCAGCACUUCUUCAAAUGCCAGCUUGGACAUUCCACUAACAUUCUCCUUUUUUAAACGGUAGAAAGAAAACCAGGGGUUUGGAAUGACAUGUGGGGGAAAGUACAAAGUACACAUUUACUUGAUGGACAUAAAGUGAAUAGUCCCCGACCCUUGAAAAAAAAAUCCACAUGAGGAUUGUCACAUGCCUAACUUGCUAUUACAGGUCAUGAACUGUCACGUUAUAGGCCUACCUUUGAUAUCAACAUUUGUAGUUCACUUUAUUGAAUUGCCCCAGUGCACUUAAAUGCACCAAACUUCACACCUUCAAGAUGUCACUGAGUGUACGAUUGCAGUGUGUGUCCUGUCUUAUAGUACUUCUACUACAGCCAUUCGCUCAAAGUCCCAUAGGAGCAACUGGAUUACAAGCACCACCUAGAGGAUCGUAUUCAGAACUACGGCUCAUUAUAUCUGGCACUUGGAGAACUACAAUGAACUUCACAAUGAGCAAACAUCACUUUCCCUAGCAAUGACUCAAAAGUGUUUUAGGCUAACUUUUUAGGCUAAUAAUUUUGUAUUAACAUAACAUUUUGAGUAAGGUGUCCUUUAAUAUUAUCAUGCAAUGUGCAAAAAUAAAAAAUAGAAUGUGCUGGUAAAAGAAUACCAAGACAGUGUUGAAAACAUAUGCAGUUGACCUGAAUGUCUUAAGCAGAGUUCAAUCAAGUUAUCAUGGUUUAUCGGUUUCUUUCUGACAGCGAAUAGACAAUUUCACUUUCAUUAUCAGACAAAAAGCUCAGUCAAAGCUCAAGGUCUUGAGAUAAAACAGUCAUUAAAAAAUCUGUGUCGGUUUAUGCAAGUUUACAUCUCUGAAAUAAUUAUGCAUUAUACUGUAAAGUUGUUGCAAUGUAAGAUGCUGUUUAACCUUAACUGUGCUGGUAAAAAUAAAAAGAAUGAAUAAAUAUAAACUUAUAUGUGUAUACCGGUCUUUAAAUCAAAACAGUCAAACGUUGAGAAAUAACCAUUAUACAUUGUCAAAUUAUAAUCCAAGAUAUAUGUGUCAUGUUAUAAGAAAACCCAUUCCUGAGAACCACGAAAAAGGGGUUCAGCUCUGCCAUUCCCUGAUAAGCACAAAUUAUCACACACCCAUUUUCUUCAGAGGGUGUGUUCACGGUCCACAAUGACAUUGCACUAAUGAUGUCCUGAUGUUAUGUCCUCCGUUGAGGGGGUCCGUGUUUGGUGCGAGGUGGACUGAGUGCUGUGAGAAUUGCAGUAUUGAUAGCAGUGUCUGAAGCUUUCUUCAUUAUCAUGGUUUCCAAAAUGUCACAUCAAAUCUACAUCAGAGAUGAUUUAAAGUGACAGGUCCCAGACUCAAGACUUGGAGGCCAUUGUCUUGCACUCCCCGAAUUCACGAAAGAUAGCGGGUGCCGGUUAAGCCCGAUCCUCAACAACCACUUGUGGGUCUAUAAGUGUGGAAGGGAAUUCACAGGGUUGUUUUUUGUGCUGUAUGCUUAAGACGAACGCAUGGUAAGGUUCAUUUAGUCAGUGUGGUCAGAUCUUUUUGAGACAGAGGGGGGUAGUGCUUCAAAGCUGAAAUAUGAAUCAAGGAAUCAAAAUCAAAUAAUUCAGUCACACUUUUUGCGACUCCACACAGGUUCCAUCCAGGAUCGACUCAUCCAAUGAGAUUCAGUACGAACCAGUCAUUUCCUUAGAGCAAUGGGACGGUUAAAACCUCUGUGUGACCUUGGGAAGAUGUAUGAGACCAAAUAGGGAGGGGUGACUUGUCUGCCACGAUUGUUAUGGCUUACCUCAGGCCAGCAGUCUGUAGGCCUCUGGACACACAACAGUGGAAAAAGCAGCUGCAUACAAUUAUAAACAGCCACCAGUGAACAGGGUAUACCUUACCUCUAAAGCCAGGUGCGAUCUGUCAUGGCAGAAGGUCUCAGGGCCGACCCAGGAUCAGGCCCUUGUUUGCAUGACCAAGAACCCGAGUCAUUUGUCAAAGAGGCUUCUUUGGGUUGGACAAAGUCACUGGUUCUGUUUAGGCUGGUCUGUUCUUCCGUUUACUUGUAGGUGGGUCAACCAUGAAUAUCAUCAUUCAACUUGCGAAAGAAUACAAGAUAAGGCGAUGAGAGACCCCUUCGUCAUUAAUGCGUUGUGUAAAUAUGACAGGGAUUUUCUUUUCUCUCAAGACAGACUUGCACAUACACAAUUAAAUGGCUCCGUGUGAACACACCCCAAAGUAAAACAUUCCUCAUAGAAGACACAGAAAACUGGCUUUGUUCAUAAUAAAGUGACAUGCUUUUGAAAUAGCUCUACACAGUGCUAUCAUUAUAUGAUAUUGAUAUUCUUUCAAGGAUGAACAACAGUAGAUCAAUGGCCUUUUGUGGCAAGAUCUAUGCACCGCCUUCAUUCAAAGCUGUAACUGUGACAUGUCGUCCUAUUUCACUUGAAUUGCACCCCGCUUUCCUCUUAGGCUUCCUCAUGAGUGUGUAAGAGGAAAUGAUGAGGUGUUUACAUUGCUCUUUUCGUUCAUCAGGUACAUUCAGUUGGAAAUGAACUAUAGGUAAACAUUAAUAAUAACACUGAACGUUUAAGUUCCGCUAUCCACCCCUAUUUGAACAGUAUAGGUCAGGUGACUGAUGGUAUAAACAUUUGUGAAUGAAGGAGCGAGCUGCUGAUAUGAAGAGGCCUCCAUUCAUGCAUUCCAGCCUCUUAGGGAAACAUGAGCCAAGGGCAGAGGGAGGGAUCAGGAUCCUGCUGUACAGGCACAAGGCUAUUAUCCUGUUCACUGAAGAUCACAUGGGCGACCGCUAAAAUUAAGAACUGAGAAUGAAUGAAUGAAUGCAAAGCAAGUGAUUGAAUGACUGACUCAAUUAACAGGCACUGAAUGAAUGAAUGAAUGAACAAUCAGAAGAUGAGUGAGAGAAAGAAUGGAUGCAAUUUAAUGAAUGAGAGAGCAACCGACUACAUGAAUAGACAAACAGUCCAGAUUAACUGAGUAAUUAGUAUUUGCAUAAAUGAACAGACAUUUAGUUAGUGAGCGAGUAAAUUAAUGAAAGAACAGACAACCAAAUGAGUGUUUGGAUGAAAAAAAUAAUGAAUGUCUUUUAAUCAAUGGAUGACUGAAUGAAUGAAAAUUAAUCAAUGGAUGAAUCAAUCAGUCAAUUAAUGAAUGAGCAGACAUUUAGUGUCUGAGAUAGAGAGUAAAUGAAUGAAGGAAUGAAGUUGUGUUUAUUCAAUAGAUGGGCCAAAAAAUCCAGAUAAUCCAGAAAUCUGAUGAAUGUGUUAAUAUCUGAGGAAGCACUGACUAAAUAUAGUUUAGUUUAAUGGAUGCCAUGAAGUCCAUACAAACUGAAUCAAUGAAUGAACAUAAUCCAUUGUACGUAUGUGAAUGAAUGAGUGAGUGAAUUAAUGAAUGAAUAGACAUACACUGAGUGAAUGAGUACGCAAUUGUUGUUACACGGCUUACUGUAGGAACGAAUAAAAGAAUGAAUGAAUGAAUGAAUAAGAUGUAAGGUCUUUGUCAGAGUCACAAUUAAUAAAUGUUCAAGGCUCUUCCUGUCUAGGACUAACAAACGAGUGUGUUUAUGGCAUGAACAUCUGUCUGCAUAUGCUUGACAGCGCUGGCUUGUCCAUUGUACAGUAUGAAGGAGGUAACCCAACUCCACAGCCAGCUGUUGCUCAAUGGGUGUUCUGAAGUCAGGAGAACAUUACUCUUCACACUGGCCCCCUUCAGCCAGCACUUCUGAGGAGCAGUUUAUAAAAACCGGGGCACUGUCUCAACAAACCAGCUCAUUCCUGCACUCCUGCCUGACCUCUCCAAAUUUAACCUUUGGCCCGGAAGGCCAAUAUUAACUCUUGGCCAAUUGUGGGGGGCUCCUGACUUCCCCUGCGCAGCCCGUGAGAACAUUCCAGGAGCGGUUGCCUGGCAAGAUUGGGUGUUAGAGCGUUGACCUCCAAUAUGUCCCGGGUUACCCUUGA
Molecule: long non-coding RNA, 4451 nt
Organism: Puntigrus tetrazona (Sumatra barb)
Lineage: Eukaryota; Metazoa; Chordata; Actinopteri; Cypriniformes; Cyprinidae
Exons: 3
Source: RefSeq, a predicted model, not a curated record